This 253-nucleotide ribosomal RNA is filed under the name uncultured bacterium. RNAcentral describes it as "partial 16S ribosomal RNA". It matches the Rfam family "Bacterial small subunit ribosomal RNA", at positions 524 to 776 of the family's 1533-position model. The record is from RNAcentral.
UACGUAGGGUGCAAGCGUUGUCCGGAAUUAUUGGGCGUAAAGAGCUCGUAGGCGGUCUGUCGCGUCUGCUGUGAAAACUCGGGGCUUAACCCCGGGCCUGCAGUGGGUACGGGCAGACUAGAGUGCGGUAGGGGAGACUGGAAUUCCUGGUGUAGCGGUGAAAUGCGCAGAUAUCAGGAAGAACACCAAUGGCGAAAGCAGCUUUCUGGGACGGUACUGAUGCUGAGACGCGAAAGCGUGGGGAGCGAACAGG